GCGGGGAGAAAGCUGGCUGCAUUUCAGCUAUACCCGGCGGCAGCAGCACAGAACAGUUCAGGAGGAGUGGCUAGCGAGGAGGCAGCAAGCAGGCAGCGUGCCGCUCUAGCAGCACACGGGAGCUGUGGGCUGCCUAGUCCCUCACAGCAGUUAUGCUGUACUGCUUCCCAGAAUGAUUGUGCAAGAACAACCAAAAGCCAACAAUCCUGUUUCACUGUGAACCUGGAAGUUUUUCACACCUGGCUCUUAGUUUGCAUCUCCUCCGGAAUGGAGAUGCUGAACUGGAUCUCCCUUCCUUCCUUUCAGUCCGUGUAAACGCAUGAUGACAACAUGGAUCCUUGAGACACUUCAUCUGCUUCAUUUGCAUACUUGCAAUGUAUUGGUUAAAAACCAACAGAAACCAGGAAAUGCCCUGUUACCAGCUGAUUUGUAGAGCUGUGUGGCAUGGAUUCCCUUGGUGCUAAUGUAGAAGUUAUGGCACAGAGUCCUCCUGAUGUCACAUCAGCGUCGUGAUAUAAGAGAUGGCCAAUGCCAGGAAAAUGUGAUAAAGCUUUUCAUUUCCACUGCCCUUCAGUGUGCAGCAAGGGCAGUUUGGUGUAAUGUAGAAUUAUGGUGGCACAACAAAGCAGUAUUGUAUAUAUAAAGAGUUUUCACUCUGACAUUACGCUUAUAAAUCACUUUU
Long non-coding RNA from Hemicordylus capensis (graceful crag lizard), 682 nucleotides. RefSeq lists it as uncharacterized. NCBI's taxonomy places the organism in Eukaryota, Metazoa, Chordata, Lepidosauria, Squamata, Cordylidae. The record is from RefSeq and is a predicted model, not a curated record. The transcript is spliced from 3 exons.